GACAUUUACUACAAGAGGGAGGGUAGGGGGGGUUUCUGGUUUAUGGUCAAUAGUAAGAUUUAUUGUGAAGAACACUGUGUGAACCAGGAUGUCUUGAGUUUUGAUCCAGGGCAAAAGCUCUAUGAAAAGUGAAGUAUGGCAAUGACCUCCCUGACCUCCAUGUUCAUAUAUGCAUGAAAAUAAUUGUCAAGGAGAAGAAUAGUUUAUGAUAGAAGUACUGAUACUUUCAAUUUUAGUCUUUUAACGCUGAUACAGAAUCAUAAGUGUAAAUUACUGCAAUCAUUCUUUUGAAUGACUAGGUCAAUUUGAUGCCACACUAUUCACAUAUUGUUCUUCAGAGAGAACUGUACUCUGGAUACUACAGAUUAUAAGGCACCACAGGCUAUCAGUUCUCUGCAUGCUUAUCAGAGAGAUUCAGAGUCCCUGAAAAAACUCAGCUGGAGUAUUCUGUGAUUAUCAAGUUGCAAAGGAUUGGCCUCCAUUAUUCCUAUUCUGUUCUCACUCAAUAAGCUGGUAGGGCUUUGGCAGAGGUAAACCAAGUUCCCACUGCUGCCAGCCCUUCAGUCCUGCUUCAGUUCUCUUCAGUGUAUCCCUUGACAACUCUAGGUUUCCGUGGGAGCUACUGUUCCAGCUGCUUAGGAAACAGAGCAGAUGUGGCACAGGUGGCCAUAGAAGCAUCCUGGCUCUCCUCACUCAGUCCUGUCACAGGGUCCUAGAGUGCUGAUGUCUAGAUGAAACUCACCACUUACCCCAAAUGCCACACAUGGCAAAACUGCUUUUGACCUCAUCAGAGUAAAGAGAUCCUGCUUCUGACCAGGAAUGAUUUUCCUCUUGUCAUAGCCCUGUACUGGUAAAUGGAAAGAAGGAGACAGGAAAAAGAGAGACUGAUCUGAAGAGAUCUGUAAAACUGUUUCAGCCUUCAUCAACAUUUUCCUCUCUAGUGGCCAAAUGUUUGCUGCAAAAAACCCAGUCUUUUCCACAGCUGUCCUUUAUUCCCACUGACAUUCGAAGCUCCAGAAACAAACACCUCCAAACUCCUGGGAAGCACAGACAAGCUUUGCAGUGCUGGAAAGUCUUCGGAAGUGGCUUUAAUUCCAUGUACACACUGUCAGAGGACUUGUCCAGAAAUGUCUCCUGUACAGCCUGGAGCUGGGAUGUUCUUUCAUUAUACAUCUCACACAGUCAGUACCAAUGUUUUCCCAAUGUUCAUGUUUGGAGCUGUGAUAAAGGUCUAACAAUAGCAUGAAGAACAUAAAAUUUAGCAGCAGUCCAAAAAGUGUUUCAGUGGCAGCCCCAUUUUAAGUGGAGAGGAAAUAAGUUAAAACUUAGGUACGUCUCACUCUUACCUUGUAAUUUGCUUGCACAGGCCUGUUUAUAUGACAGCUGUGACAACAUUUAAAUAACAUAAUUUUGAAUCUGAAUUAUAGAUGAUGUUUUGUACUUUAACAGAUCUCAAUGGCUAAAUAUUUAUCUUUUCCUCUUUCAGGUGCCUCCUUUGUUGGCAGAUUUCCAGUUCCUUCUGUGUUACAUCUCUCCUUUGAAAAUACUGCAUUGAAUAAGGAUUUCACUUCUUUGGAGCUUUGCUCCUCUUUCACCUGGUUCCUGUGGUGAAAGUAAUUAAGAGCAAUUGGUUGCUAUAGAAAUAUUAAUAUUUAUUAUUGGUACUGCAGUAAUAUCCUGAAGCUUCAGCAGCUGUGAUAUAAAUACAUGAGAGAGUAAUAAAUGUGAUAGUGCCAGCUGAGGAUUAUUACUU
This 1753-nucleotide long non-coding RNA is filed under the name Numida meleagris (helmeted guineafowl). RNAcentral's name for it is "lncRNA (ENSNMEG00000011882.1)". Lineage: Eukaryota; Metazoa; Chordata; Aves; Galliformes; Numididae. The record is from RNAcentral.